Molecule: transfer RNA, 70 nt
Filed under: Marmota marmota marmota (Alpine marmot)
Lineage: Eukaryota; Metazoa; Chordata; Mammalia; Rodentia; Sciuridae
Also listed under: 1 other name
Rfam family: tRNA
About the family: Transfer RNA (tRNA) molecules are approximately 80 nucleotides in length. Their secondary structure includes four short double-helical elements and three loops (D, anti-codon, and T loops). Further hydrogen bonds mediate the characteristic L-shaped molecular structure. tRNAs have two regions of fundamental functional importance: the anti-codon, which is responsible for specific mRNA codon recognition, and the 3' end, to which the tRNAs corresponding amino acid is attached (by aminoacyl-tRNA synthetases). tRNAs cope with the degeneracy of the genetic code in two manners: having more than one tRNA (with a specific anti-codon) for a particular amino acid; and 'wobble' base-pairing, i.e. permitting non-standard base-pairing at the 3rd anti-codon position.
Source: Rfam by way of RNAcentral
GGGGUUGUAGCUCAGUGGCUGAGUGCUUGCCUAGCAUGUGUGGGGCACUGGGUUUGAUCCCAGCACCCCA